Molecule: non-coding RNA, 1356 nt
Organism: Drosophila melanogaster (fruit fly)
Lineage: Eukaryota; Metazoa; Arthropoda; Insecta; Diptera; Drosophilidae
Source: Ensembl
GCCAGUUGCCAGUUGCCAGUUACCAGUCGGCAGUUGGUGCUCCGGGUUGGCCAGCUUAAGCUGUUCCCAAUGGAUGCUUAAAUUAUGGGACUACCAUUGAUCGCACUACCAUGAUGACUCCACCCAGCGUUUGGCUGGCUAUUAGCCGGGCCCGCUGCACAGCAAAACUCAUACCAAAGUUGGUAGGCAAAAACAAAAAAAGAAAAAACAGCGCCAAAAAUGCGCCUAAUUUGGAGAUGGCAAGCCAAACAAGCCAAGAGCCCCAAAAACGAUGAAAAGAUUGGAAAACACGCAAACUUGGCAGCUGCUGCUGCUGCUGUUGCUGGAUGGAAUCCGAGACUUGGACCUUGGACACACCUGUCCCAAAAUUGCAGCAAGUCAUGAGCUGCCUCCGGCCAGGAUUCAGGAUUAAAGCGCUUGGCUUCGUGUUCCCCAGUGUUUGGAGAUACCGCGAAAUAAAAAAAGCCACCUGAAGGGCAGUGCUUGUGGGUUGGCGGAGGAUUGGGGAGCAUUGUUGGAGAGGCAGCUUUGACGUGACUGGCAAAGUUUUUGGCAGGCGCCGCUAACGAGCGAAGCUCGUCCUCCGCCGCCCAGGAUCUCAUGUUGCUCAAAAAUGCUUAAACUAAAACUUGCUCAACAGAUUUGCGCUGGAAACUAGGAAAGAGAACAGCGGAGGGAUCCUUUUUACGGCUGCACUUCGCCGUGUCAUAUGGCGCUGGCACUCGGGUGUAAGUGUGUGUUUGACCUUUGACACUAAAACAAUUUGCAAAGCGAAAUGAUGUCAGCCCCAGUGUCCUGUCAUCUCCGACCCCUUCUCCACAUCACUGUUGUUUGCCGACUAGUGGCGUAAUUUAGUUGAAACAUUCUUAAAGUACCGCCUGUCGUAGAAUCCUGCGUCCUGGUGGGGCAAUGCAGGAACAGCGAUUCCGAGUGGGUGGAGCGGUGGGAAAACUCCGCGCGCAGCUCAUUAAAAAGUUUGCGAGUGACAACGGCGUCGGCGACAUUUGCUUAAGAAAACAUUUGGCGUCGGGAGUCGGGAGUCGGUUAACAACACCUUAAUGAUUAUCUAAGAGAUACUUUGAAAAUAAUCCACAAAGUGUGUGGGACAGAAGCUCAGAAGUAAAGUGUUCCGCUCUUGGGCUGAGUAAUUAAUUAUUCAUAAUAGCAGGCUAUAGAUAAACAACCACCUUCGCCAUAACAACAAAAUGUUUUUUGAUUGAAAUUUAAAUUAAAUUUGUUUACAAGAAUUCCGAGUACCAAGUUGUUGAGUUAUUUAUGAGCAGCUAUGAUAUAUUUCCGAAUAAUAAUUAUCAGAAAUAAUUUAUCCUAUUAAAUGAAAAGCUCUUAGCUCACUAU